Long non-coding RNA from Grus americana (Whooping crane), 5558 nucleotides. RefSeq lists it as uncharacterized. The record is from RefSeq and is a predicted model, not a curated record. The transcript is spliced from 4 exons. NCBI's taxonomy places the organism in Eukaryota, Metazoa, Chordata, Aves, Gruiformes, Gruidae.
CGGGGGGUGCCGGGGCUGGGCGAGCUGGUGAAGGGGUGCGGGCAACGGCAGCCCCUUCCGCAGGCGGCGAGUUACAGCCAGGAGCCUGCAAUCCCGGCGUCACGGCUCUCUUCGCCGGCUGCGCCAUAGGAAAGCUUGACGUCUGCGCGCCCAGGCCUCUAACUGCUUGCAGCGCGCAUCAGAGCCACGGGUAUGACGUAUGAACCUUGCAGCGUCGUUCGCGCAGUUAAUUGUGGAUGCGCAUCCCCUUUCGGCAGCCCAGAAGAGGUGGGUGCUGGGGCAGGAGCGCAGCGCUGGCACCACGGCGGGAGGCUGCCGGUCCUGCCCUAGCGAGCCCGCGGCUGGCGGUGCCCGGCCUGGUUUUUGGGAGGGACGUACGAGGCAGAUUUUUCAGAAGUGCUCACUGCAAAAUACUCCACGUGAAACCCAUGUAAAGUGUGACUCCGCAGAAUCUGUGAAAAUUAAGACCCGGAAGUCAGGCUUUUCUGAAGAGCCCAGCCUUGUGGUUUUUCCGACAUCAAUGAACAAAUUUUCAAAACGGAAGCGUUGUCUUCGGAGACUGGAAGUUUCGGAACAAAGCACUUGAAGUUUUCUCGUUGUCCACAUAGUCCCACACGACUCCAGAUGGUUCAGGAACCGUUGAGAAAAUGCAUACUGUUGAAGUAAAGAGAAGCCUUAGGUGUGAUGGACUUCAGCGCUAUGCCACGCACCUUCGGGAAUGCAGCACUUCACGGAGUCCUAAUUCAGCCUCAAAAACUCGUAGUAACCUUGGGAGAAGUUACUCAGGGAUAAUCAGCUCAAGAGGAUUGCAUGGAUGCGUGCUGGCAGUGCAACUGCUUCCCUCGUGUUUAAAACCAAACUCAGAUGGAAAAACAGACCUUCUGCUGGCUUCUCGGUCCUUUUAACCAGUGCUGAAAGCCUGCCCCUCACUGCAGGGUGAGUAGCCCUGCCGAGAGCAUCUUGAGAAGCUCAUCUCCCUCUGAAGAAAACCACUGGUGGGUGUGAAAAGCUCCGAUCCGUAUCUCAGUCUGGACACGCUGCCAGUGGAGGUAAAACUGGAUUUCACAGUGCAAGAUAGUCAGGGCUGGAGAAGACAGAGAAGAGCGUGAAAUUGAGCCUUUCCGUGUGAAAUCGCUCAUCCCAUCCCCUGCACUUUUUGCACAGUUGCAUCAAAAGCAAUCUGAUUCUGCUUCCAGUGAAGUUUUGUAUCGCUGGGCCCUCGUGACAGCUUCCGAUAUCGAUGCAACGUCUUUGCUUUAGAGUGCCCUUGCCGUGGCGGUGUCCCACCGGAGUCACGCAGUCCGCGGGUGAGAGAGAACGGGGCCGGACCCGGCGCUGACAUCAACGGGCGGCAGCGGUCUCGGGGGGCUGCAGAGACUGACUGGCUUUACUUCAUCUGUGAGGAGGCAAAACCAGCUGGCAUCGGGGAGUGCAGAUGGACAGCUGUAGUUUUAAUUGCUUGCAUUAAAAAAAAAAACCACCCUAAAUAUGGAAAUGACUUGGAGCGUAACGUACGGCCGCCCCCAGCGCCGGUUCCUGGGCUGCACCGUGGGCACCUGCUGGCUUCUUCCCUCUUCAGCCCCGACUGCAGACGGGCGUUCGGUUCCUCCUCUGCUCUAAGCCCUCGCCUCGAUGGGAGGUGGAAGCUGCGCUCUUGGCCACCGGCCAGACUUGUGACCCGGUCGCCAGAACUUACCAAAAACCCACCAGCUGACCCUCUGCACCGCUUAAUCUCGUCUCUGAUGACGAAAGGUACAGAGGUACAUUUUUAAUGCGCCAGGACUGACGUGUGAUGUAAGGCCGAUGCUGCUGUGGUUUGUUGUUACUACUUGGGAUAACUUUCAAGCAAAUUUUCAACAGGAAAAUAACUUUCUGUUGCGUGCUCACUGGCAAUACAUUUUAACUUCUCAGCUAUUGAAAUAAGUGGUAUUGGUAAAAGAGCAGGCUGAGCUUAGGUAUAACCUGAUCACAGCGCGGUUAGCUAGGUCUCCUAUUUUAAUAACCUAUAAACAUUUUAGAUAGAGUUAGAACAUGAUGUCCUAGUGUUUGACAAGGGCUAUAGUUAGGGGCUCACAGCAAAGGAGCUACCAUGGAUGGGAGGUCUAAAAAGUUAAUUAAUGAGUAAAUAAGCAGUUCCACGUACAUGUAUGUGUAUACAUGUGUGUGCAUGUAUGCAAUAAACUGACAGAACUUUCUGUAGCUAAUUUCAGCUCCUGAUAGCUCUUAGAAAUUUUGAAUGAUGGCUUUUCUUUUCAUGAGCUUUCGUAGUUCUCUUGUAAAGUUACUUGAAGUCUAACUCGGUGUAUAAAGCAAUCUGAGGAUUGCCAUUCCUCUACUAUAUUCCAGAUCAAAUUAAUACUGAAGGGAAGGAUUUUAUGUUUUAAACGUGCAUUAGUUCCAUCAGAGCACCCUCACCAUCAGUCCUAGGCUUGUUCCACCUUUCUAUAUGAAGUGCAUACCUGGAUUCUCAAAAGUAUUGUGCUUAGAACAGCAAUAUUGAUGAAAUUAAGUGAAAUCUUUCAGAAUGUAUGUACACACAGAAUUCAUCUGCAUUUCCGUUCUGGUCAAAUUCUUCAAAAGUUUCCUGAUUCAUCAUCAAUUUCAAACAAAUCUUGGCAAGUAAGGAAGCAGGCACAAAGAACUAGAGAGAAGUCUGGGCUGGAGUUUUCUCCUUUCAGAUUUGAAGAGUGCAAAUCUGGAACCUGACUUCACGGCUGAAGCCCACACGUAGUCGGAUGUGGUGACCCAGUGCCGUGAUUUCAGCUGCUUUCAGAUCAUUCCCCUCCAAUAACAGCAAGUGAACGAGGAUUGAACAAAUUAAUUCAGCGCUGCUAAAUCACAGCCUUAAUUAUACGCGACGUAAGGUAAUGACAGUCUUAGGCUGUGACGGCAGGUUGCCGGUAUUCUCGCCGCUCACCUCUUGCUCACGCCUCUCCCCCGGGGGAAGCUCCACUUUGUGUAUUUCCUACAGUGAAUCACGGCCGACAUCCGGCCAAGACGACGGACGGACGGACGGACAGAGGGCCCCAGAGUGAGCAGGAGGAGCCGAGGCAGUUAGCCUGGGCUGAGGCACAGCAGCCGGGGAGGGCGGCUUGCCGGAGGAGAUGCUCCGUGGAGCCGCAGCCGGAGACGUGAGCUGGUAAAGCCGCAAGGAAGCCGAGGAGCAACAUCAUGGAUGUCAGCAAGAAACGACUGUCAGCCCUCGAUGCGCACCCGCCCGAACCCCAGAGGUAUUUGGAUAUAGAGUGAAGUCCUCCCCCGGCCGGUGUCAGUGGAAAUGCUGUGGCUGGUGGGGGGCAGGGGAUUGACCCACGCUGCUCGCAUCCUGCAUAGCGACAGUGGAACUGUCUGCGGGGGGCCCUGGUCUGGUGCUCAGCCGUUCAGCCCAGCAAGAGGGUUCCUGAGCUGGGCCUGGCAAACAUAACGAUGUUGGGAUUUGGUGGUUAGCAAAUACAGUAUGUCUGUUUGGUUUGGUACGCAAAUCUUUUUAUUUAAUGGUAAAUAAUACUGUAUAGGUGACCUAGCGAUGGAUAAAAAAAAGCCCCAUAAAAUAGCUUCAUAGAAAAAACCCACAGAUGAGUUAAGAGCAUUUUGGUUUGGUGUUGUUUUCCCCGUUGCAAGCCUCUUCGUGUUUCUAAGACCAUGUCUGCAACAGGCUUUGAGCCUCUGCUUUGGUGACAGCAGCGCACCCGACGCUAACCGCUGGCGCAGGAACGCUGCCACUGACUACGCGAGGGCUGGAGCAGCAAACAGCCGCUGCGAACGCAGGGGACGGACAGCGAGGAGGGAAAUGAGCACGCACGGGGCAGGCUGUGAAGCGUGGAGUUUUUGUUGGGGCGUUUGUUUAUUUUUGCUCAGGGAAUGAGCUAGAGAGAAUGCAAAUAACUACCACCAGAAAGCAAGGUGGUGCCGGGCAGGCGGCAGGAGAAGUGCUGCGGAGCCGCCCACGCUCCUGCGGGCAGGGACGUGGGUAAUGAGCACGCGGAGCAGCGCUUGAGAUGAGGCUGCCGCGGCUCCCUGGCUGGCAUCCAGCUACGCAGACGGAGGCGCGCAGGGCGCGUCGCCCUCCCGGGUAUUUACCCGCAGACCUACGGCCAGGCUGUGAAUUCUGCAAUUCCGAGGAGCCGACACCCACCGAAGCCACCGGGUCCGGCUGGAGCGAGAGGGGCGUGAUUUUGCUUUUUAGUUACCAAGCGUUGCAUCUAAUUGAACCCGCUGCAGGGGGGAAAGGCUGAUCUUGAGCUGAUAAUGCCUCGUUUCGAUGUGACUUAAAAUAACUGGCUUUGGGGAGCAGCAGUGGCUCCGCCGAUGGCGGUGAGAGGUGUCCUCCUGCCAGCACCAGCUGCGGGUCCCACAUCACCACUGAGAAUGACAUCGAAGGGCCGCUGUCCCGUCUUUUCUGUCGCAGGCGGUCAGCCGCCAGUUAGCCGAGCUAAGGGGCAGGGAAUGCAGCUGUUGAGACGCGGUCGUUAAACCUGUCACGGAGAGGGGCUGAUACCACAAUUAGUGCCAAGGAGAUGGGAUACAGACGCACAAACUUGCCAUUGUUCUUAAAAUGUAGCUGGCUUUCUGUGGAUAACCACUUGUUUGUCAGUUCAGGGCAUCCAUAACUAGCUCUUACUGUCACAUUUUGAAAUUUGAGCUCCUGAUGGAAAAAUAAAAGCACACAGGGGGAGGUGUCACUAAAAGCAAGCGAUGCAUCCUGGCACUGUCAGCAUUUCGGAUGGCGUGAACACAUCUCCAUGUGCUCGAGCCAGUAAUCUAUCCUCGUUACUCAUCAUCACGUGUCUAACCAUAACUAUGUUUUUAGUUACUCGGCAGCAGAAGUAUGCAUGUUGUUUUUCAAGUAUGAAAAGGCCUUUUCCUUGUGGCUGGAGUCUCCUACACUAAUUUGCCAGCCUCUGAACUUUGAUCCUAGUCUAGUCCAACUGCUGGAAGAUCAAGGGCUAUAUAGCGUGGACCACAACAAGCGAUGAAGAAAAAGGGCAAAGGCGAUGGAGGGGGGGGUUAUGGCAGCCGAGUCGGAGCAUGUGAGUGAUGUCCUGGGGACAGGCUGCUCCAGAUAAAGUUGUACGUGGGGACUACAGUGCUUGCAGGAAGGGAAAAAUCAGAAUUUUCAGGGGACCCAAAAGUUUAGUUCAACAGGAGGAUUACCUGUGUGUUGGCCUCUCCUUCCCCGGCACCGGUUUUGUUGUGCUCUUUUAAAAGCGCUGUUGUUGAAACGUAACGCGGGCUUCCUGAAGUGCUAGCGGCGGCUCUCCUGCCUGCCCUUCCGGCUGGGCACAGCCGGGGCGCUCCGCAGCUGGCACUUCAAACGUGACUUCUUCGGGACUCGUCUUAGCCAAUUCCCGUGACAUCAUGGCAUAUAUAUAUAUUUCCUAAAUCAAGAACGGGGUUCUGUAGGCAAUAAGUGUCUCGAAAGCCACAUUGUAAGCCUAAUUAGAUAUUUAUUUUUUUAAAAAUCUUCACUUGCACCACAGAAAAUCUAAAAAAUGUCAAUAGCCAAGGUAAGAUUGCAUCCUUUGCAUUCUGGAUUCAGAGCCUGUCAAGAUUUCAGG